UGCGUAGGCGGGUUAGUAAGUUAGUGGUGAAAGCCUCCGGCUCAACCGGAGAACUGCCAUUAAUACUGCUAAUCUUGAGUAUAGUUGAAGUGGGCGGAAUGUAUCAUGUAGCGGUGAAAUGCUUAGAUAUGAUACAGAACACCGAUAGCGUAGGCAGCUUGCUAAACUAUAACUGACGCUCAGGCACGAAAGCGUGGGGAUCAAACAGGAUUAGAUACCCUGGUAGUCC
This 229-nucleotide ribosomal RNA is filed under the name uncultured bacterium. RNAcentral describes it as "partial 16S ribosomal RNA". It matches the Rfam family "Bacterial small subunit ribosomal RNA", at positions 568 to 796 of the family's 1533-position model. The record is from RNAcentral.